UACGUAGGGUGCGAGCGUUAAUCGGAAUUACUGGGCGUAAAGCGUGCGCAGGCGGUGAGCUGUGUCCGAUGUGAAAGCCCCGGGCUUAACCUGGGAAUGGCAUUUGGGACUGCAAGGCUCGAGUGCGGCAGAGGAGACUGGAAUUCCUGGUGUAGCAGUGAAAUGCGUAGAUAUCAGGAGGAAUACCGGUGGCGAAGGCAGGUCUCUGGGCUGACACUGACGCUCAUGCACGAAAGCGUGGGGAGCAAACAGG
This 253-nucleotide ribosomal RNA is filed under the name uncultured bacterium. RNAcentral's name for it is "partial 16S ribosomal RNA". It matches the Rfam family "Bacterial small subunit ribosomal RNA", at positions 524 to 776 of the family's 1533-position model. The record is from RNAcentral.